UUAAAUUGAAGAGUUUGAUCAUGGCUCAGAUUGAACGCUGGCGGCAGGCCUAACACAUGCAAGUCGAACGGUAGCACAGAGAGCUUGCUCUCGGGUGACGAGUGGCGGACGGGUGAGUAAUGUCUGGGAAACUGC
This 135-nucleotide ribosomal RNA is filed under the name Kosakonia radicincitans. Its description in RNAcentral is "16S rRNA. Bacterial SSU". It matches the Rfam family "Bacterial small subunit ribosomal RNA", at positions 1 to 129 of the family's 1533-position model. RNAcentral also lists the same sequence under 1 other name. The record is from RNAcentral. Lineage: Bacteria; Pseudomonadati; Pseudomonadota; Gammaproteobacteria; Enterobacterales; Enterobacteriaceae.